UUUUUGAAUUUAAUUUAAAGUCUAACCUGCCCACUGAAAAUUUUAAAUGGCCGCAGUAUUUUAACUGUGCAAAGGUAGCAUAAUCAUUAGUCUUUUAAUUAAAGGCUGGAAUGAAUGGUUGAAUGAAAUAUUAACUGUUUCAUAUAAAUUAAUAAAUGAAUUUUAUUUUUUAGUUAAAAAGCUAAAAUAUUAUUAAAAGACGAGAAGACCCUAUAAAUCUUGAUAUUUUUCUUUAUUUUAAUUAUAUUGAUUAAUUUAAUUAUAAUAAAUAAAUAUAUUUUAUUGGGGUGAUAUUAAAAUUUAAUAAACUUUUAAUUAAAAAUUAACAUAAAUUAAUGAAUUAUUGAUCCAUUUUUAAUGAUUAAAAAAUUAAGUUACUUUAUGGAUAACAGCGUAAUUUUUUUAGAGAGUUCAUAUUGAUAAAAA
This 426-nucleotide ribosomal RNA is filed under the name Phalacrotophora delageae. RNAcentral describes it as "partial 16S ribosomal RNA". Lineage: Eukaryota; Metazoa; Arthropoda; Insecta; Diptera; Phoridae. The record is from RNAcentral.